AACGCGAAGAACCUUACCAACCUUUGACAUGUCCAGUAUGGGUCUAGGAGACUAGACCCUUCAGUUCGGCUGGCUGGAACACAGGUGCUGCAUGGCUGUCGUCAGCUCGUGUCGUGAGAUGUUGGGUUAAGUCCCGCAACGAGCGCAACCCUCAUCUUUAGUUGCCAUCAGGUAAGGCUGGGCACUCUAAAGAAACCGCCGGUGACAAGCCGGAGGAAGGUGGGGAUGACGUCAAGUCCUCAUGGCCCUUACAGGUUGGGCUACACACGUACUACAAUGGUGGUGACAGUGGGUUGCGAAGCCGCAAGGUGGAGCCAAUCCCCCAAAAACCAUCUCAGUUCAGAUUGCACUCUGCAACUCGAGUGCAUGAAGUUGGAAUCGCUAGUAAUCGCAGAUCAGCACGCUGCGGUGAAUACGUUCCCGGGCUUGUACACACCGGUAUCUC
RNAcentral lists this ribosomal RNA (445 nucleotides) under uncultured bacterium. RNAcentral describes it as "bacterial SSU rRNA". It matches the Rfam family "Bacterial small subunit ribosomal RNA", at positions 958 to 1400 of the family's 1533-position model. The record is from RNAcentral.